Dunckerocampus dactyliophorus (ringed pipefish) is the source of this 134-nucleotide small nucleolar RNA. RefSeq annotates it as small nucleolar RNA SNORA14. The transcript has a single exon. The record is from RefSeq and is a predicted model, not a curated record. NCBI's taxonomy places the organism in Eukaryota, Metazoa, Chordata, Actinopteri, Syngnathiformes, Syngnathidae.
UUGCAUCUUUAGUAAACCCCCCAGUUGCCGUCUGUGGCCUCCGGGACAAGAAAAGGUGCUAGAUCAAUCUUAGAACAUCCAAAACCGAGAGCCGCUUGUCAGAUGCUCCUGGUUAUUUCACCUCUAAGACACGA